GGACUAACGCCGAUAUGCUUCGGGGAGCUGUAAGUAAGCUUUGAUCCGAAGAUUUCCGAAUGGGGAAACCCACUAUACGUAAUGGUAUGGUAUCCUUACCUGAAUACAUAGGGUAUGGAAGACAGACCCAGGGAACUGAAACAUCUAAGUACCUGGAGGAAGAGAAAGCAAAUGCGAUUUCCUGAGUAGCGGCGAGCGAAACGGAACAUAGCCCAAACCAAGAGGCUUGCCUCUUGGGGUUGUAGGACAUUCUAUACGGAGUUACAAAGGAACGAGGUAGACGAAGCGACCUGGAAAGGUCCGUCGUAGAGGGUAACAACCCCGUAGUCGAAACUUCGUUCUCUCUUGAAUGUAUCCUGAGUACGGCGGAACACGUGAAAUUCCGUCGGAAUCUGGGAGGACCAUCUCCCAAGGCUAAAUACUCCCUAGUGAUCGAUAGUGAACCAGUACCGUGAGGGAAAGGUGAAAAGCACCCCGGAAGGGGAGUGAAAGAGAUCCUGAAACCGUGUGCCUACAAAUAGUCAGAGCCCGUUAAUGGGUGAUGGCGUGCCUUUUGUAGAAUGAACCGGCGAGUUACGAUCCCGUGCAAGGUUAAGCUGAAGAGGCGGAGCCGCAGCGAAAGCGAGUCUGAAUAGGGCGUUUAGUACGUGGUCGUAGACCCGAAACCAGGUGAUCUACCCAUGUCCAGGGUGAAGUUCAGGUAACACUGAAUGGAGGCCCGAACCCACGCACGUUGAAAAGUGCGGGGAUGAGGUGUGGGUAGCGGAGAAAUUCCAAUCGAACCUGGAGAUAGCUGGUUCUCCCCGAAAUAGCUUUAGGGCUAGCCUUAAGUGUAAGAGUCUUGGAGGUAGAGCACUGAUUGAACUAGGGGUCCUCAUCGGAUUACCGAAUUCAGUCAAACUCCGAAUGCCAAUGACUUAUCCUUAGGAGUCAGACUGCGAGUGAUAAGAUCCGUAGUCAAGAGGGAAACAGCCCAGAUCGCCAGCUAAGGUCCCAAAGUGUGUAUUAAGUGGAAAAGGAUGUGGAGUUGCUUAGACAACUAGGAUGUUGGCUUAGAAGCAGCCACCAUUUAAAGAGUGCGUAAUAGCUCACUAGUCGAGUGACUCUGCGCCGAAAAUGUACCGGGGCUAAAUACACCACCGAAGCUGCGAAUUGAUACCAAUGG
RNAcentral lists this ribosomal RNA (1165 nucleotides) under Bacillus cereus. RNAcentral describes it as "bacterial LSU rRNA". It matches the Rfam family "Bacterial large subunit ribosomal RNA", at positions 59 to 1228 of the family's 2925-position model. Lineage: Bacteria; Bacillati; Bacillota; Bacilli; Caryophanales; Bacillaceae. The record is from RNAcentral.